Acromyrmex echinatior (Panamanian leafcutter ant) is the source of this 259-nucleotide long non-coding RNA. The record is from RefSeq and is a predicted model, not a curated record. Lineage: Eukaryota; Metazoa; Arthropoda; Insecta; Hymenoptera; Formicidae.
CGAAUUAAUUCCAACACCUAAUAUAACCGGUGUACCUGACAGUUUUCCCGAAAAACAUGAUAAGAAUUGCCAUUGAAAAAUUGACAGCAGGAAAUGAAAAUAUUUUAACUCCAAUUAUUAUCCCAGAAUUAGAAGAUAGCUAUUACAAAUGAAAGUGAAUUGAACAAUGGAGAAAAUUUCAUUGAACAGAACGCAAUAGAUGUCAUGUACAUCAUCAUCACAAGUAAAUAGAACACAAAUCAGACCGAGUGAAUGCAGA